GAUGAACGCUGGCGGCGUGCCUAAUACAUGCAAGUCGAGCGAACAGACGAGGAGCUUGCUCCUCUGACGUUAGCGGCGGACGGGUGAGUAACACGUGGAUAACCUACCUAUAAGACUGGGAUAACUUCGGGAAACCGGAGCUAAUACCGGAUAAUAUAUUGAACCGCAUGGUUCAAUAGUGAAAGACGGUUUUGCUGUCACUUAUAGAUGGAUCCGCGCCGCAUUAGCUAGUUGGUAAGGUAACGGCUUACCAAGGCAACGAUGCGUAGCCGACCUGAGAGCGUGAUCGGCCACACUGGAACUGAGACACGGUCCAGACUCCUACGGGAGGACGCAGUAGGGAAUCUUCCGCAAUGGGCGAAAGCCUGACGGAGCAACGCCGCGUGAGUGAUGAAGGUCUUCGGAUCGUAAAACUCUGUUAUUAGGGAAGAACAAAUGUGUAAGUAACUAUGCACGUCUUGACGGUACCUAAUCAGAAAGCCACGGCUAACUACGUG
RNAcentral lists this ribosomal RNA (497 nucleotides) under uncultured bacterium. RNAcentral describes it as "partial 16S ribosomal RNA". It matches the Rfam family "Bacterial small subunit ribosomal RNA", at positions 28 to 507 of the family's 1533-position model. The record is from RNAcentral.